This 253-nucleotide ribosomal RNA is filed under the name uncultured bacterium. Its description in RNAcentral is "partial 16S ribosomal RNA". It matches the Rfam family "Bacterial small subunit ribosomal RNA", at positions 524 to 776 of the family's 1533-position model. The record is from RNAcentral.
UACAGAGGUGGCAAGCGUUGUUCGGAAUUACUGGGCGUAAAGGGCGCGUAGGCGGCCCGUCAAGUCCCGUGUGAAAGCCCCCGGCUCAACCGGGGAACGGCGCGGGAAACUAGCAGGCUUGAGUUCGGGAGAGGGAAGCGGAAUUCAGGGUGUAGCGGUGAAAUGCGCAGAUAUCCUGAGGAACACCGGUGGCGAAGGCGGCUUCCUGGACCGACACUGACGCUGAGGCGCGAAAGCUAGGGGAGCAAACGGG